AACGAACGCUGGCGGCAUGCCUAACACAUGCAAGUCGAACGAGACCUUCGGGUCUAGUGGCGCACGGGUGCGUAACGCGUGGGAACCUGCCCUUAGGUUCGGAAUAACUCCCCGAAAGGGGUGCUAAUACCGGAUAAUGUCUUCGGACCAAAGAUUUAUCGCCUUUGGAUGGGCCCGCGUUGGAUUAGCUAGUUGGUAGGGUAAAAGCCUACCAAGGCGACGAUCCAUAGCUGGUCUGAGAGGAUGAUCAGCCACACUGGGACUGAGACACGGCCCAGACUCCUACGGGAGGCAGCAGUGGGGAAUAUUGGACAAUGGGCGAAAGCCUGAUACAGCACUGCCGCGUGAGUGAUGAAGGCCUUAGGGUUGUAAAGCUCUUUUACCCGGGAUGAUAAUGACAGUACCGGGAGAAUAAGCACCGGCUAACUCCGUG
RNAcentral lists this ribosomal RNA (433 nucleotides) under uncultured bacterium. Its description in RNAcentral is "partial 16S ribosomal RNA". It matches the Rfam family "Bacterial small subunit ribosomal RNA", at positions 29 to 507 of the family's 1533-position model. The record is from RNAcentral.